UACGUAGGCAGCGAGCGUUGUUCGGAGUUACUGGGCGUAAAGGGUGUGUAGGCGGUUGUUUAAGUUUGGUGUGAAAUCUCCCGGCUCAACUGGGAGGGUGCGCCGAAUACUGAAUGACUUCGAGUGCGGGAGAGGAGAGUGGAAUUCCUGGUGUAGCGGUGAAAUGCGUAGAUAUCAGUCGGAACACCGGUGGCGAAGGCGGCUUCUUGGGCCAUUACUGACGCUGAGGCGCGAAAGCCAGGGGAGCGAACGGG
This 254-nucleotide ribosomal RNA is filed under the name uncultured bacterium. RNAcentral's name for it is "partial 16S ribosomal RNA". It matches the Rfam family "Bacterial small subunit ribosomal RNA", at positions 524 to 776 of the family's 1533-position model. The record is from RNAcentral.